This 22-nucleotide transfer RNA is filed under the name Alphonsea javanica. Its description in RNAcentral is "partial tRNA-Leu". Lineage: Eukaryota; Viridiplantae; Streptophyta; Magnoliopsida; Magnoliales; Annonaceae. The record is from RNAcentral.
UAAGAGGAAAAUCCGUCGACUU